RNAcentral lists this Y RNA (102 nucleotides) under Prolemur simus (greater bamboo lemur). RNAcentral describes it as "Y RNA (ENSPSMG00000012093.1)". It matches the Rfam family "Y RNA". Rfam says of the family: Y RNAs are components of the Ro ribonucleoprotein particle (Ro RNP), in association with Ro60 and La proteins. The Y RNAs and Ro60 and La proteins are well conserved, but the function of the Ro RNP is not known. In humans the RNA component can be one of four small RNAs -- hY1, hY3, hY4 and hY5. Lineage: Eukaryota; Metazoa; Chordata; Mammalia; Primates; Lemuridae. The record is from Rfam by way of RNAcentral.
GGCCAGUCCGAGUGCAGUGAUAUUUACAACUAAUUGAUCACAACCAGUUACAGAUUUCUUUGUUCUUUCUCCACUCCCACUGCUUCAUUUAAAUAGCCUUUA